AGGUGUUGGAUGUGUGUGCAGGUGUGGGGGUGGAUCAGGGAGAAAAGUGUUGGAGGUGGGACCUAGGAGGCAAGAAGAAGGAGGAAGCGGGAAGGAGGAAAGAGGAAGGAAAGCCAGCUCAUUUUACAAACGUUUACAGAACAUUGUCCUGCAUGUUUCACAAAACCAGCAAUCCCUAGGACCAUAUCAGUGUGGCCGGAUGCAUGGCUCACUGCGCCUCCGGGCUCCCAGACCCGCCGCAUUAUUCCCCAUAUCUGACCAGGUCUGGGUCUCAGUUAACUCCAGGUACAGCUGACCUGCAGUGCCGGCCUUCAGGUGACAGAGAACAAGCCCAUCGAGGGGUGAAGAAGAUUAAGAGCCAGGACAUAAAGUUGGACUCGAAUAAGGAAGAGCGACCCACCAGAGACCAAAAGCGCUAAUUACACAUGCGAGCGACCCCGCAGAGGGAGGAACCCCAUUCGUUUCCUUGGAGACUCUCGCCUCCAGAUCCUGUUUAUCCACGUGAUGGCCAGCAACAAAGCCGAGUGUAAACUGUAGAAAGGGUCAUCAGGGAUGCCGGAAUCCCACAGGAGUUGGGACACAAAGGAUCCUCCACUCGCACAAGGAGCAAGAAGCGCCCCUCUUCUGAUUGUCUGACUUGCCUGCUGGAGCCAGCCAGUUGACAACAUCACCUGAACUCCAGGGCCUCACCCGCCAGGCGGCAAAAUUCAACCAGACUGACAGCAAAGCGAUGCUCACCGAGGCCUCUGGCUCCCACUGAGAGCCCCAGGUCCCAGUCCCUCCUCCAAACUUCCCCCUCCCCAAUUCUGGGAGCCCCCAAGGGUCUCUCUGCGCUCUGAUGCUGCUCGCCAUCCCAGGGGUCCUCUGCAGACCCUGCACCUCUGAGAUACGGCAUGAGAACACCCACCCCAGCCAGCACCCCACCCCAGGGAACCGAGGCCACCCGAGGAUUCAUUCUGAUGGGCGUCACGGUACUUCAAAGAGUGGGAGGGGGUCCUGGGGGCCCCCAAAGCACUACUCUGCCCCCACAGCUCAGGCCCCUAGGGAGCAUUGCCUUCAGCAUCAUCCCUUAGGGUUCAAAUGUGGCCCAUGGGGCUGAGCUGGAGAUGAGACCAGAUCCCACCUUCCCCUCCUGCCCUUCCCUGAGCCCCUCCCCUUUCCUUUUCCCAUAGAGAGCAACCUGCAGUUUUGGCCACACCGGGAUCUCCGAUGCCCCAUGGCUGGACCCUGGUUAAGCUGUGUCCACUUGCCCGGUUCAGGAAGCAAAGGGAGCCAUUGGUAGCUGUGUGGGGGCAGGGAGAGCAGAGGACCAAGUCAGGAGACCCCUGCCCAUCUCCCUGAACAUUAACUGCUGGGCAGCCCUGUGACCUUGGACUCAGAGAGGUGGGCCAAAUGUUGCUUGUCACACCUGCCCUGUACUGGGGCAGGUAAUACUUGGGCAAACUCUGCAGAAACCCUAAUGUGCUCUACGCUUGCCAGCUAUUGCCCUGAUUAAUAAUAACACUGAUAAUCACAUUAAUAGUAAUAGAUCAGAAUUCUCUGGGGGAAAUCUCAUUAGCGGAAUUUACUUCCUCUAUGGUAUAUCAAGAACACAGGUGAGUUGUAAAGACACAUCCAGGCAUCAGAAGGGGACAAACUCCCCCUCUCCUCUCCCCAGAACAGGAACUACAUACAGUAGGGACGGCUGGGGGUGGGGUGGCAAGUCCCCUCUGAGAUGCUGGUACAGCUGGGUGGUGCUUAAAUUGUCAGGGGAGGGGGACAAGUUAGCAGAAUCCAUCACGGUGUGAGUUUGCUAGGGCUACUCUAACAAGAUGAGACUGAGCACACAGAAAACAAAAUGCCCCACGGUAGCAGCUGAGACAGCAGAGUUGUAUCUCUUGCAGUUCUGGAGGCUUGAAGUCCAAGAUAAACAGGUCCACAGGGCUGGUUCCUUCUGAGGCCCCUCUCUUUCGCUGGCAGACGGCUGUCUUCUCGCUGUGUCCUCGGAUGGCCUGCCUUCUUUGUGUGUCUGUGUCCUAAUCUCUUCUUACAAGGACACCAGUCACACAGAUGUCUACUAAAAGGUGCACAACG
Bubalus bubalis (water buffalo) is the source of this 2073-nucleotide long non-coding RNA. RefSeq lists it as uncharacterized. The transcript has 2 exons. The record is from RefSeq and is a predicted model, not a curated record. NCBI's taxonomy places the organism in Eukaryota, Metazoa, Chordata, Mammalia, Artiodactyla, Bovidae.